This is a long non-coding RNA of Macrobrachium nipponense, 383 nucleotides long. RefSeq lists it as uncharacterized. The transcript has 3 exons. NCBI's taxonomy places the organism in Eukaryota, Metazoa, Arthropoda, Malacostraca, Decapoda, Palaemonidae. The record is from RefSeq and is a predicted model, not a curated record.
GCAACUUCUGGUGUGAAGACAAAAUGAUAGUUUAUUGUGUUGUGAGGAACGCCCAUCCUGUCCUUCACAAGGAAGGUGCCCCAAUUCCAAGACCUCUUCAAAACAGCGGUUCCGGUCCAUUUAAAUGCAAACAUGACAGCGGUUGUGAGACAGGAUUCAUUUGCUGCCACGACAACUGCCUUGGACACAAAGUCUGCAAAAUUGCUGAAGUUGGAAGCUCUUAGGAUACAGCACUGAUCAAGACGGAUGUUCAACAGGAUUUUCAAAACAGGCUUUGUUUUUAACUGAUAACGUUACUGCUUAGUACCUUUUAAUACUAGAGUCACUUUUCAACCAUUGUACUGUAUUCCUGUUAGAGAAAAAGUAAAUAAAAAAAUGUGAUG